GAGGGUGUAGCUCGGUGGUAGAACACACGCUUAGCAUGCACGAGGUCCUGGGUUCGAUCCCCAGUACCUCCA
This 72-nucleotide transfer RNA is filed under the name Camelus ferus (Wild Bactrian camel). It matches the Rfam family "tRNA". From Rfam's summary of the family: Transfer RNA (tRNA) molecules are approximately 80 nucleotides in length. Their secondary structure includes four short double-helical elements and three loops (D, anti-codon, and T loops). The record is from Rfam by way of RNAcentral. Lineage: Eukaryota; Metazoa; Chordata; Mammalia; Artiodactyla; Camelidae.